This 778-nucleotide ribosomal RNA is filed under the name Paramacrobiotus tonollii. Its description in RNAcentral is "partial large subunit ribosomal RNA". It matches the Rfam family "Eukaryotic large subunit ribosomal RNA", at positions 44 to 648 of the family's 3401-position model. The record is from RNAcentral. Lineage: Eukaryota; Metazoa; Tardigrada; Eutardigrada; Parachela; Macrobiotidae.
UACUAAGCGGAGGAAAAGAAACCAACGGGGAUUCCCAUAGUAACUGCGAGUGAAAGGGGAACAGCCCAGCGCCGAAUCCUACUGCUGGCAACGGUAGCAGGAACUGUGGCGUGAAGAAGGUGGUUACCGGUGUGGCUUGCCCGCGUAAGUUCUCCUGAGUGAGGCUCCAUCCCAUGGAGGGUGCAAGGCCCGUAUCGUGAGCAGCUGAUGCCGGUGUACAUCUUCGGAGAGUCGCCUUGUUUGCGAGUACAAGGUGAAGUCGGUGGUAAACUCCAUCGAAGGCUAAAUAUGACCACGAGUCCGAUAGCGAACAAGUACCGUGAGGGAAAAUUGAAAAGCACUUUGAAGAGAGAGCGAAACAGUGCGUGAAACCGUUCAGAGGCAAGCAGAUGGGGCCUCGAAGGCAAAGCAGUGAAUUCAGCUGGCAGUUGCGUGGCUGGCUGGUGUAGGGAUCGCAAGACCCUUGCCGGUUGCGUUCUGCGUAACUGUUAGUGCACUUUCGCUGUUUGUACGCCACCGCCGUUGAGCGAGCAUCCGUCGGGUAUGCCUGCGAAGCCUGAUUCCUUCGGGCGUCGGUGCUUGCGGCUAACUUUUGACGCGUUUGCGCCUCAACCGGUCAUGUCAGCGUGUGCCAGCGUUAGCGUUGGAUCGGUGUGCUCUGUAGGGCGUCGUUGGAUGACGAGCUUGCUCGGCUCCUCGACGUUCCGUAGACUCGUUGCCGGUUUUCAACGUAGGCACAUUGUAGAUUCGGUGGCGAGUAGAUGGCUGCCUAUCUAAC